This 495-nucleotide ribosomal RNA is filed under the name uncultured bacterium. RNAcentral describes it as "partial 16S ribosomal RNA". It matches the Rfam family "Bacterial small subunit ribosomal RNA", at positions 29 to 507 of the family's 1533-position model. The record is from RNAcentral.
AUGCACGCUGGCGGCGUGCCUAAUACCUGCAAGUCGAGCGAACAGACGAGGAGCUUGCUCCUCUGACGUUAGCGGCGGACGGGUGAGUAACACGUGGAUAACCUACCUAUAAGACUGGGAUAACUUCGGGAACCGGAGCUAAUACCGGAUAAUAUAUUGAACCGCAUGGUUCAAUAGUGAAAGACGGUUUUGCUGUCACUUAUAGAUGGAUCCGCGCCGCAUUAGCUAGUUGGUAAGGUAACGGCUUACCAAGGCAACGAUGCGUAGCCGACCUGAGAGGGUGAUCGGCCACACUGGAACUGAGACACGGUCCAGACUCCUACGGGAGGCAGCAGUAGGGAAUCUUCCGCAAUGGGCGAAAGCCUGACGGAGCAACGCCGCGUGAGUGAUGAAGGUCUUCGGAUCGUAAAACUCUGUUAUUAGGGAAGAACAAAUGUGUAAGUAACUAUGCACGUCUUGACGGUACCUAAUCAGAAAGCCACGGCUAACUACGUG